This 468-nucleotide ribosomal RNA is filed under the name uncultured bacterium. RNAcentral's name for it is "partial 16S ribosomal RNA". It matches the Rfam family "Bacterial small subunit ribosomal RNA", at positions 28 to 507 of the family's 1533-position model. The record is from RNAcentral.
GACGAACGCUGGCGGCGUGCUUAACACAUGCAAGUCGAACGGAAAGGCCCUGCUUUUGUGGGGUGCUCGAGUGGAGAAAGGGUGAGUAACACGUGAGUAACCUGCCCUUGACUUUGGGAUAACUUCAGGAAACUGGGGCUAAUACCGGAUAGGAGCUCCUGCUGAAUGGUGGGGGUUGGAAAGUUUCGGCGGUUGGGGAUGGACUCGCGGCUUAGCAGCUUGUUGGUGGGGUAUUGGCUUACCAAGGCUUUGACGGGUAGCCGGCCUGAGAGGGUGACCGGCCACAUUGGGGCUGAGAUACGGCCCAGACUCCUACGGGGGGCAGCGGUGUGGAAUAUUGCACAAUAGGCGGAAGCCUGAUGCAGCAACGCCGCGUGCGGGAUAACGGCCUUCGGGUUUUAAACCGCUUUCGCCUGUGACGAAGCGUGAGUGACGGUAAUGGGUAAAGAAGCACCGGCUAACUACGUG